AUGGAGCACUCCUCUGACAAGGCCUGCUGCUUCCAACUUCUUGAUUUCUUCUGCGAUGAACUCUUGGCGCUCCACUGCCUGCUUCCUGACUCUCUGCUUGACGGGCCGUGCAUGAGGACAGACGGCAAGGUGGUGCUCAAUUACUUUUCUGGGAACACCGGGGAUAUCAGACGGUUGCCAUGCAAACACGUCGACAUUCGCCCGCAGGAAAGCAACGAGCGCGCUUUCCUAUUUGGGGUCAAGAGUGGCGCUGAUGGUGAAGGUACCACCAGCGCCAUCCUCCUUGGCGGACACCUUCUUGGUCUCAGGUGGAGCUGCCAUUGCCUUCUUACACUUGCCAGUGGAGCUCGAUGGUGCGUCCUCGAUGGUAGCGCAGCACUCCGAAGAGGUGCGCUUGCCAGAGUGGGCAUCAGAGCUCUUGCCGGACUUGGUCUUCUUCUUCCCCCCGGGAGCUUCAGCGACAAGUGUCUUGCGUUUUGCUGCGGCUGCUGCUUCCCGGUAGAUCUUGUCGGCAUAGAUAAGAGCAUCCUUCUUGUCGCCAGGGACAGAGAUGACACUUAUCGGGCCUGGCAUUUUCAGUAUGUUGUACGCAUAGUGAGAGGCUGGCAUGAACUUGGCGAGUGCCGGACGGCCAAGGAUUCCAUUGUAAGGUAA
This 654-nucleotide ribosomal RNA is filed under the name Triticum aestivum (bread wheat). RNAcentral describes it as "partial small subunit ribosomal RNA". The record is from RNAcentral. Lineage: Eukaryota; Viridiplantae; Streptophyta; Magnoliopsida; Poales; Poaceae.